This 460-nucleotide ribosomal RNA is filed under the name uncultured bacterium. RNAcentral describes it as "partial 16S ribosomal RNA". It matches the Rfam family "Bacterial small subunit ribosomal RNA", at positions 338 to 795 of the family's 1533-position model. The record is from RNAcentral.
CCUACGGGAGGCAGCAGUGAGGAAUAGUGGGCAAGGGACGCAAGUCUGAACCAGCCAUGCCGCGUGCAGGAAGACGGCGCGAUGAGGUGUAAACUGCGGUUGUACGAGGGUAAAUCCCGAUACGUGUAUCGGGUUGAAAGUAUCGUACGAAUAAGGAUAGGCUAACUCCGUGCCAGCAGCCGCGGUAAUACGGAGGAUUCAAGCGUUCUCCGGAUUGAUUGGGUUUAAAGGGCGCGUAGGCGGUUCGAUAAGUUAGAGGUGCAAUCCCGGGGCUCAAAGCCGGCACUGCCUCUGAUACUGUCGGGCUAGAGUUUAGUUGCGGUAGGCGGAAUGUCUGGUGUCGCUGUGAACUGCCUAGAGUUCAUACAGAACACCGAUUGCGAAGGCAGCUUACCAAACUACGACUGCCGUUGAGGCACGAAAGCGUGGGGAGCACCCAGGAUUAGCUCCCCGAGUAGUC